GGAAAAACAGUACGAAAGGAGAACUAAUAGCGCAUGUGGUCAUUGGAUUUAGAAACUGAUGACUAAGGGAGCAAUUCGCUUUGGGAGGGACCUGCGUCCCAUCAGCUAGUUGGUGAGGUAACGGCUCACCAAGGCUACGACGGGUAGGGGACCUGAGAGGGUGGCCCCCCACAAUGGAACUGAAACACGGUCCAUACACCUACGGGUGGCAGCAGUAGGGAAUAUUGCACAAUGGGCGAAAGCCUGAUGCAGCAACGCCGCGUGUGCGAUGAAGGCCUUCGGGUCGUAAAGCACUUUUCUGGGAGAUGAGAAAGGACAGUAUCCCAGGAAUAAGUCUCGGCUAACUACGUGCUAGCAGCCGCGGUAAUAC
RNAcentral lists this ribosomal RNA (370 nucleotides) under uncultured bacterium. RNAcentral describes it as "bacterial SSU rRNA". It matches the Rfam family "Bacterial small subunit ribosomal RNA", at positions 140 to 526 of the family's 1533-position model. The record is from RNAcentral.